GGUGUAUGAACCUAAUCAAGAGUGAUCGUGGUUUAGUCACUUAUUGUUAUUGGAAGAGUUAUCACUUUGUUAAUUGUUUUGCAUGUUCUUAUUUCUUUAUAUUAUUUUUGUUAGUUCACUCCUAUUGUUUGUGUUUAUUGUGUUGAUCAUAUAAUAUUUGUGUUAUACGGGAGCAAAUGAUGAUGCAGAUGGUACAAAUGUUAUCUGGGAGCAGCAAUAAGAGGAUAGGAAAGAUUAAAGAGAGAAUAUUAUUAAUUUCGUUUUGAAUAAGAU
Molecule: long non-coding RNA, 273 nt
Filed under: Vigna radiata
Lineage: Eukaryota; Viridiplantae; Streptophyta; Magnoliopsida; Fabales; Fabaceae
Description: long non-coding RNA (VRAD_LNC002183)
Source: RNAcentral